GAUUAAGUUAUUAAGGGCGCACGGUGGAUGCCUUGGCACUAGAAGCCGACGAAGGACGUUACUAACGACGAUAUGCUUUGGGGAGCUGUAAGUAAGCUUUGAUCCAGA
This 108-nucleotide ribosomal RNA is filed under the name Staphylococcus saprophyticus. RNAcentral describes it as "partial 23S ribosomal RNA". It matches the Rfam family "Bacterial large subunit ribosomal RNA", at positions 1 to 108 of the family's 2925-position model. The record is from RNAcentral. Lineage: Bacteria; Bacillati; Bacillota; Bacilli; Caryophanales; Staphylococcaceae.